RNAcentral lists this long non-coding RNA (2619 nucleotides) under Nicotiana tabacum (common tobacco). RNAcentral describes it as "long non-coding RNA (NTAB_LNC001291)". The record is from RNAcentral. Lineage: Eukaryota; Viridiplantae; Streptophyta; Magnoliopsida; Solanales; Solanaceae.
AAGAUGAUCACUGGUGACCAGCUCGCCAUCGGUAAGGAAACUGCCCGUAGGCUUGGCAUGGGAACCAACAUGUAUCCUUCUUCAGCUCUUCUUGGAGAGCACAAAGAUGCAGCCAUUGCUUCAAUUCCUGUCGAUGAGCUCAUUGAAAAGGCAGAUGGUUUUGCCGGAGUCUUCCCAGGUAAAUAUUAGUAGUACUAUCAUUGAACUACAACAUAGAAAAGUUUAGGCAAAAGAACUAACAUAAAAAGGUUUGAUUUUGUGUAGAGCAUAAAUAUGAGAUUGUGAAGAAGCUCCAAGAAAGAAACCAUAUCUGCGGUAUGACAGGAGAUGGAGUGAACGACGCACCAGCACUAAAGAAGGCAGACAUUGGUAUAGCUGUGGAUGAUGCAACAGACGCUGCCAGGAGCGCAUCUGAUAUCGUCUUGACUGAACCAGGUCUUAGUGUUAUCGUGAGUGCUGUGUUGACGAGCAGAGCCAUCUUCCAGAGGAUGAAGAACUACACCAUCUAUGCAGUUUCCAUCACAAUCCGUGUUGUUAUGGGAUUCAUGCUCAUUGCCCUUAUCUGGAAGUUCGACUUCUCGCCAUUCAUGGUCCUUAUCAUUGCCAUACUCAAUGAUGGAACUAUCAUGACCAUCUCUAAGGACAGGGUGAAACCAUCUCCAUUGCCCGAUUCGUGGAAACUCAAAGAAAUCUUUGCCACUGGUGUUGUCCUCGGAACCUACCAAGCGAUCAUGACUGUUGUGUUCUUCUACCUUGCAGCUGACACUGAUUUCUUCUCUGUAUGUUAUUCUCCCCCUAAACUUAAACAAAAAAUGAAAACAUAACAUGAAAUAAACUAACAAAUUUUAUCAUAUAUGUGCAGGAAAACUUCCAUGUUAGAUCAAUCAGAAACUCUCCAACUGAGCUUACAGCUGCACUAUACCUUCAAGUGAGCAUUAUUAGUCAAGCUCUCAUCUUUGUGACCAGAUCAAGAAGUUGGUCAUUCGUUGAACGCCCUGGCCUUAUGCUUGUCGGUGCUUUCUUUGCCGCUCAAUUGGUAAGGAUCUUGAAAAAUGAAUUACUUGACUUGGUUUUCAAUGUGUUGUUCUAUCGGAAACAACCUCUCUACCUUCUCGAAGGUAGGGGUAAGGUCUACGUACACCCCCCGACUCUACAUUAUGGGAUUACAGUGGGUUUGUUGUUGUUGGUUUUCAAUAUGUGGCUACCUGAAAUUCAUAAUUUUCUCCCAUUUUUUCCAGGUUGCUACCGUGCUCGCUGUAUAUGCAAACUGGGAAUUUGCCAGGAUCAAGGGAGUUGGUUGGGGAUGGGCAGCAGUUAUCUGGAUCUACACAAUUAUUACCUAUAUCCCUCUUGAUAUUCUUAAAUUCAUCAUCCGUUUCGCUUUAAGUGGAAGGGCAUGGGAUUCAAUGAUCCAGAACAAGGUAAAAGCAAGCACACAAAUUGCCAUAACAUGAACAUUUUACAUUGAAUUCUAUUCUUGACUAAUUAGUAAUAUCAUUUCUUGAAUAUAUCAGACUGCCUUCACAACCAAGAAAGACUAUGGAAGGGGUGAAAGGGAAGCACAAUGGGCUUUAGCUCAACGUACACUUCACGGUCUGCAGACACCUGAAAACACUGGCCUAUUCAAUGACAAGAACUACAGGGAACUAUCCGAGAUUGCUGAGCAGGCUAAACGUCGUGCUGAAGUUGCAAGGUAUAUGAACAAUAUCAUAGAUGUUAUAGUAAAAAGGGCAGCCUAUUGCACAAAGCGUUCUGCAUUCACGCAACGUCCAGGGAAGGGCCUCACCCCAAGAGGGUGAUGUAGGCAGCCUAAUGCAAGUAUUAGUGGCUGAUUCCAAGGCUUGAACCCUUGACCUAUAGGUCACACGGAGACAACUUGACCGUUGCUCCAAGGGCAGCCCAGUGCACAAAGCAUCCCACAUUCACGAAGGGUCCAGGGAAGAGCCGCACCCCCAAAAGGGUGUGAUGUAGGCAGCCUAAUGCAAGCAUUAGUGGCUGAUUACAUGGCUCGAACCCGUGAUCUAUAGGUCACACGGAGACAACUUGACCGUUGCUCCAAGGACAGCCUGGUGCACAAAGCAUCCCACAUUCACGAAGGGCCACACCCAAAGAGGUGUGAUGUAGGCAGCCUAAUACAAGUAGUAGUGGCUGAUUCCACGGCUCGAACCAGUGACAUAUACAGAGACAAUUGAUUGUCGCUCCAAGAACCGAUAGAUGUUAAAUUACUAUGAUAAAUUGUUUUGAGUGCCACAAUCUAUACUUACAAGAACUAUGUUAUUGCAGGUUGAGAGAGCUACACACUCUAAAGGGACAUGUUGAAUCAGUGGUCAAGCUAAAGGGACUAGAUAUUGAAACCAUCCAACAACACUAUACUGUCUAAAGAAGCUGCAAAUCAAAUCAACUUUCAUUUUUUCCCAUAUAAGGAAGGACAUUUUUCAGCUGGCACUAUGUUGGAUGAGGAUAUUGUUUGGUUGAAGAACAAGGGCUAGCUGUGUAUUUAAAAAAAAUCUUGAGUAUUGAUAGUUAUCUAUAGAAGAAAAUAAAAAAUAAAAAAUUGUAAGUAGUAGUUACUUUUUAUCUUUAUUGUUAUUUAUCCUAUCUAUACAAUGUAUGUUAUCU